AACGCGAAGAACCUUACCUGGGCUCGAACGGCUUCUCAACGGCGGUGGAAACACCGCUACUCCGCAAGGGGGUGGAGUCGAGGUGCUGCAUGGCUGUCGUCAGCUCGUGUCGUGAGAUGUUGGGUUAAGUCCCGCAACGAGCGCAACCCUUGUCCUGUGUUGCCACUCCGUAAGGAAGCACUCGCAGGAGACCGCCAGCGAUAAGCUGGAGGAAGGUGGGGAUGAUGUCAAGUCAUCAUGGCCUUUAUGUCCAGGGCUACACACGUGCUACAAUGGGCGGUACAAAGCGCUGCAAACCCGCGAGGGGGAGCUAAUCGCAAAAAACCGUUCUCAGUUCGGAUCGCAGGCUGCAACUCGCCUGCGUGAAGCUGGAAUCGCUAGUAAUGGUGUAUCAGAAUGAUACCGUGAAUACGUUCCCGGGCCUUGUACACACCGCACGA
Molecule: ribosomal RNA, 440 nt
Filed under: uncultured bacterium
Lineage: Bacteria
Description: bacterial SSU rRNA
Rfam family: Bacterial small subunit ribosomal RNA
Source: RNAcentral